Molecule: long non-coding RNA, 618 nt
Organism: Symphalangus syndactylus (siamang)
Lineage: Eukaryota; Metazoa; Chordata; Mammalia; Primates; Hylobatidae
Source: RefSeq, a predicted model, not a curated record
UCCGCGCCCACGUAAAGUAGCCCGCGAGCCCCGCAGUCCGAGGGUCGGGCUGGCCUCUCCCCACCCACGAACAUGGCUGUCAAGUGGAGAAACCUUGAAAUGGACUGAGAGAGAAUCAACCGUCCUCGUUUGAUACCAAAGGAGCUUGAGGCCAAAGCAAAUCCAGAGAAGGAAGUGGAUUUCCUGAAUGUCACACAGCCAGCCAGUGGCAGCUUUGACGCUACAGAAUCUCAUCAUUUGAGACACAGUUCAGCAGUCUUGGCACCAUGCCAUGAGCCUGGGCACUUCCCUUAACUCCUAGACCAUCAUCCCAGCAGGAAGGACCAACCCCAUCUUGCCUUAAACCGAAGGUUGCUGGCAGAGUUUCAAGCUGUACACCCAGGAAUUGAGAAGUGUAACUAAUGAGCACGCCGUGAAAGCCACAGACCACCUCAUUAAAUGUCAGAGCCAUUUCCCAGCUUGGGGAGAAAUGAACAUCCUCAAAGAAAACUCACCUCAUCAAUUAAUGAAGACUUUUUUUAAUGUGGUAAAUAUUCAACAGACAUUUCUAAUAGACAAAGAGCAUUCACCAGAGGACUUAAAGAAGAAAAGCCCCAGAUUUCUGGUGGGAUGUGGAGG